This 272-nucleotide long non-coding RNA is filed under the name Brassica napus (rape). RNAcentral's name for it is "long non-coding RNA (BNAP_LNC014756)". The record is from RNAcentral. Lineage: Eukaryota; Viridiplantae; Streptophyta; Magnoliopsida; Brassicales; Brassicaceae.
GGAGAUGGACCAGCUGGAGCAAAAGAGUCAGAAAGAACCCGAAUUGGAGAUUUUCACGAGCGGAACAACCUUGCAGGCUGUUCUCGAGAGUGUGGAGCAACCCGAGUGCAUGUUCCCGCGGCAUAGGUUUUUAUGGAAACUUCUAAUAUUUCGGGAUUUGCCCUAAUCAACCCAAUUUUAUCUUAUGCAGCCGCCAGAGACCUGCAGUAUAUCUUUUCUUAUUUUCUACUCCCUCCGGAUUUGAAUAUAUGAUGUUUUAGUUUUUUUUUCUU